GUUAACGUAGCACAACAUGGUCCUGCAAAAGCCCUAAGCUCUUUCAACAGAGGUUCAAAUCCUCUCGUUAACU
Molecule: transfer RNA, 73 nt
Filed under: Aplastodiscus ehrhardti (Ehrhardt's snouted treefrog)
Lineage: Eukaryota; Metazoa; Chordata; Amphibia; Anura; Hylidae
Description: tRNA-Leu
Rfam family: tRNA
About the family: Transfer RNA (tRNA) molecules are approximately 80 nucleotides in length. Their secondary structure includes four short double-helical elements and three loops (D, anti-codon, and T loops). Further hydrogen bonds mediate the characteristic L-shaped molecular structure. tRNAs have two regions of fundamental functional importance: the anti-codon, which is responsible for specific mRNA codon recognition, and the 3' end, to which the tRNAs corresponding amino acid is attached (by aminoacyl-tRNA synthetases). tRNAs cope with the degeneracy of the genetic code in two manners: having more than one tRNA (with a specific anti-codon) for a particular amino acid; and 'wobble' base-pairing, i.e. permitting non-standard base-pairing at the 3rd anti-codon position.
Source: RNAcentral